GAUGAACGCUGGCGGCGUGCUUAACUCAUGCAAGUCGAACGGGAAACCUUUUAUUGAAGCUUCGGCAGAUUUAGCUGGUUUCUAGUGGCGGACGGGUGAGUAACGCGUGGGUAACCUGCCUUAUACAGGGGGAUAACAGUCAGAAAUGGCUGCUAAUACCGCAUAAGCGCACAGAGCUGCAUCGCUCAGUGUGAAAAACUCCGGUGGUAUAAGAUGGACCCGCGUUGGAUUAGCUGGUUGGUGGGGUAACGGCCCACCAAGGCGACGAUCCAUAGCCGGCCUGAGAGGGUGAACGGCCACAUUGGGACUGAGACACGGCCCAGACUCCUACGGGAGGCAGCAGUGGGGAAUAUUGCACAAUGGGGGAAACCCUGAUGCAGCGACGCCGCGUGAAGGAAGAAGUAUCUCGGUAUGUAAACUUCUAUCAGCAGGGAAGAUAAUGACGGUACCUGACUAAGAAGCCCCGGCUAACUACGUG
RNAcentral lists this ribosomal RNA (478 nucleotides) under uncultured bacterium. RNAcentral's name for it is "partial 16S ribosomal RNA". It matches the Rfam family "Bacterial small subunit ribosomal RNA", at positions 28 to 507 of the family's 1533-position model. The record is from RNAcentral.